RNAcentral lists this transfer RNA (64 nucleotides) under Monodelphis domestica (gray short-tailed opossum). It matches the Rfam family "tRNA", at positions 5 to 66 of the family's 71-position model. Rfam says of the family: Transfer RNA (tRNA) molecules are approximately 80 nucleotides in length. Their secondary structure includes four short double-helical elements and three loops (D, anti-codon, and T loops). Further hydrogen bonds mediate the characteristic L-shaped molecular structure. tRNAs have two regions of fundamental functional importance: the anti-codon, which is responsible for specific mRNA codon recognition, and the 3' end, to which the tRNAs corresponding amino acid is attached (by aminoacyl-tRNA synthetases). tRNAs cope with the degeneracy of the genetic code in two manners: having more than one tRNA (with a specific anti-codon) for a particular amino acid; and 'wobble' base-pairing, i.e. permitting non-standard base-pairing at the 3rd anti-codon position. Lineage: Eukaryota; Metazoa; Chordata; Mammalia; Didelphimorphia; Didelphidae. The record is from Rfam by way of RNAcentral.
CUUUAGUGCAGUGGGCAGCAUGUCAGUUUCACAAGCUGAAAGUCCCAAGUUCAAUCCUUGGAAG